CCCCAAGAUGUUCUGGGCCGCACGCGCGCUACACUGAACAGUUCAACAAGUCUUAACCUUGGCCGAUAGGUCUGGGUAAUCUUUGAACGCUGUUCGUGAUUGGGAUAGACCUUUGCAAUUAUGGGUCUUCAACGAGGAAUUCCUAGUAAACGCAAGUCAUCAGCUUGCAUUGAUUACGUCCCUGCCCUUUGUACACACCGCCCGUCGCACCUACCGAUUGAAUGGUCCGGUGAAAUCUCGGGACGGCGGCUUGGUCGCUUGCGUCCGACUGCUGAAACUUGAUUAAACCAUAUCAUUUAGAGGAAGGUGAAGUCGUAACA
Molecule: ribosomal RNA, 320 nt
Filed under: uncultured eukaryote
Lineage: Eukaryota
Description: partial 18S ribosomal RNA
Rfam family: Eukaryotic small subunit ribosomal RNA
Source: RNAcentral